AGCAGCCGCGGUAAUUCCAGCUCCAAUAGCGUAUAUUAAAGUUGUUGCAGUUAAAAAGCUCGUAGUUGAAUUUCGGGAUUGGCGCAUCGGUCGUGCCUCACGGGGUAUGAACUGGUGCAGUCAAUUUCUCACCUUCUGGAGAACCGCGAUGUCCUUAAUUGGAUGCCGUGGGGAACCAGGACCUUUACUUUGAAAAAUUGAGUGUUUAAAGCAGGCAUUUUUGCUUGAAUACAUUAGCAUGGAAUAAUAAAAUAGGACGGCAUGGUUCUAUUUUGUUGGUUUCUAGGACCACCGUAAUGAUUAAUAGGGAUAGUUGGGGGCAUUAGUAUUCAAUUGUCAGAGGUGAAAUUCUUGGAUUUAUUGAAGACUAACUACUGCGAAAGCAUUUGCCAAGGAUGUUUUCAUUAAUCAAGAACGAAAGUUAGGGGAUCGAAGACGAUCAGAUACCGUCGUAGUCUUAACCAUAAACUAUGCCGACUAGGAAUCAGACGAUGUUAAUUUUUAAUGACUCGUUUGGCUA
RNAcentral lists this unclassified non-coding RNA (520 nucleotides) under uncultured Entrophospora. RNAcentral describes it as "SSU rRNA". It matches the Rfam family "Eukaryotic small subunit ribosomal RNA", at positions 569 to 1086 of the family's 1831-position model. The record is from RNAcentral. Lineage: Eukaryota; Fungi; Glomeromycota; Glomeromycetes; Entrophosporales; Entrophosporaceae.